CAGCAAUGUGUUUGGAAAGGUUACCUCCUUCUCUACAAUUGCUCAUGGCUUUAUGUCUCCCUGGAGACGUUGCAGAUCUGGGAGAGGAAGGGCUUCUCUGAGCAAAGCUCUAGUGACUCCGUAACUGCAGGUGUCAUUUUAUAGCUUCUUCUCAGAAUGAGAUCAUGCUAUCAGGAAGACAAUUCUGCUCACCUUGGUUAUGCUUCACUGCUUGCAGAGCUGUGCUGCUUCUGAGUGCAUCUUUAUUUAUUUGUUCUACAUUUGCAAAGAACUUUCUCAAUCCCCUGAAAUCCUGACUGUCCCCUCUCAUCCCAGGCUCAUCAUUUGUUCAUUCAACACAUUGCUGGGAAUGAUGAUAUGGAGCAGGCUUCUUAAAAGCUGAAGCUUGGGGAUAUUUGCUUUGCUCCCUCAGGAAAACACGGAGACUUGCAAAGCGUGUUUUUAUCGAGACAUCCUACCUUGAAAGAGGACAUGAUUAAAAAGGGAAAAGAAGCUGGAACGCUGACUUAGAAGCAUCCUUAUGACUCCAGAGGAGUCCAGAAGUGUUACAGGAUCUGCGAUUAAGCUUUCGUGCCGGGGCUUUGGAAAAUGAUCAUCUUGCUCUGCCCCAGAUACCCUCUGCAAACUGAAGCAAAUCCUUGUAAGACAGGGAAAACUCUCCAAAGCAAAGAGCGUUGAGGUAUGCAUCUGUGGACCUCAGCCCUGAAGGAGUUUGUUGCCUCAUUAACUCUCCGGGCUGUGACUGAACUACAGAGUAGAAACAAGGGGUAAGGCCGACAGUAAAGGGAUCAAGAGGUAAGUGCUAGUACAAGAGGACGUUAUGUCUCUGUGGAAUUUGGGGUGAAACCUGGAUUUCCUGUUACCCUAACAGUGGGGUGCCCUCCAUGGAUCUGUAGGUGCUAAAGGGACUGGGUGACGAGACAUACUCCAGAGAUGGUGUCACAUGUACAGAGGGCCCUUCAACACGAGACCGACUUUGCUCUCAACCCAUUCCAGCUACACACAAAUACUUACAGGGCCAAAGAAACUUCUACGUUUUAACUGGAGUUGGUCCAAGUUACAGAGUUUCUCUCCCAAUCAAACUGUUCUUAGAUCAGAAGUUGGCUUUGAUUAGCCUUCUGCCUGAAAGUUGCUUUACAGGCUUUGGAAAAAGCUGGGUUCUUUCUUGGAUAAAAUUCAGGGUCGUUGUUUGGAGAAAUCACUUUUCUCCGACUGUUUUAUAGAAGAAAAGUUAUUCCUUCACCUGAACUUUUUAAAUGUUGCAAUGUAGGGCAAAUUCCCAAAUUUGAAAAUGUUUGAUACCUUUUU
Struthio camelus australis is the source of this 1308-nucleotide long non-coding RNA. RefSeq lists it as uncharacterized. NCBI's taxonomy places the organism in Eukaryota, Metazoa, Chordata, Aves, Struthioniformes, Struthionidae. The record is from RefSeq and is a predicted model, not a curated record.